UUUUUCACACGUUGACCUGCCGCAAAUUAGUUAAUCACAGGCUAAUGAGUUUUACAGUGUUGACAAGCAAAAUCUAUGAUCUAAAUGCGUUCAGUUCGAAGUUUUGAUCCAAAAUUAAAUACUGUAAAAGAUACGCAGAUUACAGUUUGAGUGUAAAAUCACCUGCAAACACCGAGACGUAUUGUUGAUUUUCUUACCAAACUUUCAAGAAAUCGACUGACUCCGACCCUCGGCUAUCAAAAGUGUUGUGUUUCAACGGCACAAACCUUCAACGGGAACUGUUGGGCGGCUUUCAUAUCAACCAUCCCCUUAUUUUGCAAAAGUUUGGGGAUACUGCUUUGAAUUGAAUGCAAGGCGAAUAAAGAAUAAAAAAAGAACAAAAAGUCAGUUAAAGUAAUUACUUGUAGUCGGAGGUGUGGGUCCGCACACAUUGUUCUGUAAUGGAAGGACAACAACAACUUCUUUCAGAAGAAACGACUGGAUAUAAAGGUAUAGAAGCACCCAAUCUAAUUCGAAAAGACAUCACAUCAAAUGAAGUGGAGUCUACAGAACAAGAUGUGAAACUAAAUGAAGAAAAAAAUAUCAUCUUAAAUGGCGAAGAAGCUAGCUCCAGUGAAACAAAACAAGAUGGCGAGAUUCACGUCAAAAUUGAACCUGAAGAUCAUGCACAAGAGGAGAAAAAAUCUAACAA
Molecule: long non-coding RNA, 691 nt
Filed under: Dendronephthya gigantea
Lineage: Eukaryota; Metazoa; Cnidaria; Anthozoa; Malacalcyonacea; Nephtheidae
Description: uncharacterized LOC114525490, transcript variant X2
Source: RNAcentral